UACAGAGGUCUCGAGCGUUGUUCGGAUUCAUUGGGCGUAAAGGGUGCGUAGGUGGUCGCGUAAGUCGGAUGUGAAAUCCCGGGGCUCAACCCCGGAACUGCAUUCGAUACUGCGUGGCUGGAGUCCUGGAGAGGAGAUCGGAAUUUACGGUGUAGCAGUGAAAUGCGUAGAUAUCGUAAGGAAGACCAGUGGCGAAGGCGGAUCUCUGGACAGGUACUGACACUGAGGCACGAAGGCCAGGGGAGCAAACGGG
RNAcentral lists this ribosomal RNA (253 nucleotides) under uncultured bacterium. RNAcentral's name for it is "partial 16S ribosomal RNA". It matches the Rfam family "Bacterial small subunit ribosomal RNA", at positions 524 to 776 of the family's 1533-position model. The record is from RNAcentral.